CCUAACACAUGCAAGUUGAACGAGAAAUCACCUUCGGGUGAGAGUAGAGUGGCGCACGGGUGAGUAACGCGUGGGAACCUGCCAAGCAGUGGGGAAUAACCUUUGGAAACGAAGGCUAAUACCGCAUACGCCCUUUUGGGGAAAGAUUUAUCGCUGUUUGAUGGUCCCGCGUCCGAUUAGCUAGUUGGUAAGGUAAUGGCUUACCAAGGCGACGAUCGGUAGCUGGUCUGAGAGGAUGAUCAGCCACACUGGAACUGAGACACGGUCCAGACUCC
RNAcentral lists this ribosomal RNA (275 nucleotides) under unidentified marine bacterioplankton. RNAcentral describes it as "partial 16S ribosomal RNA". It matches the Rfam family "Bacterial small subunit ribosomal RNA", at positions 47 to 339 of the family's 1533-position model. The record is from RNAcentral. RNAcentral also lists the same sequence under 1 other name.